GCACAAUGGGGGAAACCCUGAUGCAGCGACGCCGCGUGGAGGAAGAAGGUUUUCGGAUUGUAAACUCCUGUCGUUAGGGACGAUAAUGACGGUACCUAACAAGAAAGCACCGGCUAACUACGUGCCAGCAGCCGCGGUAAAACGUAGGGUGCAAGCGUUGUCCGGAAUUACUGGGUGUAAAGGGAGCGCAGGCGGACCGGCAAGUUGGAAGUGAAAACUAUGGGCUCAACCCAUAAAUUGCUUUCAAAACUGCUGGCCUUGAGUAGUGCAGAGGUAGGUGGAAUUCCCGGUGUAGCGGUGGAAUGCGUAGAUAUCGGGAGGAACACCAGUGGCGAAGGCGACCUACUGGGCACCAACUGACGCUGAGGCUCGAAAGCAUGGGUAGCAAACAGGAUUAGAUACCCUGGUAGUCCAUGCCGUAAACGAUGAUUACUAGGUGUUGGGGGAUUGACCCCCUCAGUGCCGCAGUUAACACAAUAAGUAAUCCACCUGGGGAGUACGACCGCAAGGUUGAAACUCAAAGGAAUUGACGGGGGCCCGCACAAGCAGUGGAGUAUGUGGUUUAAUUCGAAGCAACGCGAAGAACCUUACCAGGUCUUGACAUCCGAUGCAUAGCACAGAGAUGUGUGAAAUCCUUCGGGACAUCGAGACAGGUGGUGCAUGGUUGUCGUCAGCUCGUGUCGUGAGAUGUUGGGUUAAGUCCCGCAACGAGCGCAACCCUUAUUGCCAGUUACUACGUUAAGAGGACUCUGGCGAGACUGCCGUUGACAAAACGGAGGAAGGUGGGGAUGACGUCAAAUCAUCAUGCCCUUUAUGACCUGGGCUACACACGUACUACAAUGGCGUUAAACAAAGAGAAGCAAGACCGCGAGGUGGAGCAAAACUCAGAAACAACGUCCCAGUUCGGACUGCAGGCUGCAACUCGCCUGCACGAAGGCGGAAUUGCUAGUAAUCG
This 955-nucleotide ribosomal RNA is filed under the name human gut metagenome. RNAcentral describes it as "bacterial SSU rRNA". It matches the Rfam family "Bacterial small subunit ribosomal RNA", at positions 366 to 1344 of the family's 1533-position model. The record is from RNAcentral.